Molecule: ribosomal RNA, 1435 nt
Filed under: uncultured organism
Description: 16S ribosomal RNA
Rfam family: Bacterial small subunit ribosomal RNA
Source: RNAcentral
CAGGCUUAACACAUGCAAGUCGAGGGGCAUCAGGAAGAAAGCUUGCUUUCUUUGCUGGCGACCGGCGCACGGGUGAGUAACACGUAUCCAACCUGCCCUUUACUCGGGGAUAGCCUUUCGAAAGAAAGAUUAAUACCCGAUAGCAUAAUGAUUCCGCAUGGUUUCAUUAUUAAAGGAUUCCGGUAGAGGAUGGGGAUGCGUUCCAUUAGGUUGUUGGUGAGGUAACGGCUCACCAAGCCUUCGAUGGAUAGGGGUUCUGAGAGGAAGGUCCCCCACAUUGGAACUGAGACACGGUCCAAACUCCUACGGGAGGCAGCAGUGAGGAAUAUUGGUCAAUGGGCGCUAGCCUGAACCAGCCAAGUAGCGUGAAGGAUGAAGGCUCUAUGGGUCGUAAACUUCUUUUAUAUAAGAAUAAAGUGCAGUAUGUAUACUGUUUUGUAUGUAUUAUAUGAAUAAGGAUCGGCUAACUCCGUGCCAGCAGCCGCGGUAAUACGGAGGAUCCGAGCGUUAUCCGGAUUUAUUGGGUUUAAAGGGAGCGUAGGUGGACUGGUAAGUCAGUUGUGAAAGUUUGCGGCUCAACCGUAAAAUUGCAGUUGAUACUGUCAGUCUUGAGUACAGUAGAGGUGGGCGGAAUUCGUGGUGUAGCGGUGAAAUGCUUAGAUAUCACGAAGAACUCCGAUUGCGAAGGCAGCUCACUGGACUGCAACUGACACUGAUGCUCGAAAGUGUGGGUAUCAAACAGGAUUAGAUACCCUGGUAGUCCACACAGUAAACGAUGAAUACUCGCUGUUUGCGAUAUACAGUAAGCGGCCAAGCGAAAGCAUUAAGUAUUCCACCUGGGGAGUACGCCGGCAACGGUGAAACUCAAAGGAAUUGACGGGGGCCCGCACAAGCGGAGGAACAUGUGGUUUAAUUCGAUGAUACGCGAGGAACCUUACCCGGGCUUAAAUUGCAGUGGAAUGAUGUGGAAACAUGUCAGUGAGCAAUCACCGCUGUGAAGGUGCUGCAUGGUUGUCGUCAGCUCGUGCCGUGAGGUGUCGGCUUAAGUGCCAUAACGAGCGCAACCCUUAUCUUUAGUUACUAACAGGUUAUGCUGAGGACUCUAGAGAGACUGCCGUCGUAAGAUGUGAGGAAGGUGGGGAUGACGUCAAAUCAGCACGGCCCUUACGUCCGGGGCUACACACGUGUUACAAUGGGGGGUACAGAAGGCAGCUAGCGGGUGACCGUAUGCUAAUCCCAAAAUCCUCUCUCAGUUCGGAUCGAAGUCUGCAACCCGACUUCGUGAAGCUGGAUUCGCUAGUAAUCGCGCAUCAGCCACGGCGCGGUGAAUACGUUCCCGGGCCUUGUACACACCGCCCGUCAAGCCAUGGGAGCCGGGGGUACCUGAAGUACGUAACCGCAAGGAUCGUCCUAGGGUAAAACUGGUGACUGGGGC